Molecule: unclassified non-coding RNA, 260 nt
Filed under: uncultured Chaetothyriaceae
Lineage: Eukaryota; Fungi; Ascomycota; Eurotiomycetes; Chaetothyriales; Chaetothyriaceae
Description: sequence contains ITS2
Rfam family: 5.8S ribosomal RNA (bases 1-52)
Source: RNAcentral
AACGCACAUUGCGCCCAUUGGUAUUCCGAUGGGCAUGCCUGUUCGAGCGUCAUUAUCCUCCCUCAAACCUCGUGUUUGGUGUUGGACCGUGUUAGUCGUGCGACCAACUGGUCUCAAAGACAAUGACGGCGUCCGUGGGACCCUCGGUGCAACGAGCUUUUAACGAGCACGCGUCGAGUUUCAAGGACCCUCCGGGCCGGUCUUGACUUCUAUCUUCUCAGGUUGACCUCGGAUCAGGUAGGAAUACCCGCUGAACUUAA